AUACGGAGGGUGCAAGCGUUAUCCGGAAUCAUUGGGUUUAAAGGGUCCGUAGGCGGACUAUUAAGUCAGAGGUGAAAUCCCACAGCUCAACUGUGGAACUGCCUUUGAUACUGGUAGUCUUGAGUUAUAUGGAAGUAGAUAGAAUGUGUAGUGUAGCGGUGAAAUGCAUAGAUAUUACACAGAAUACCGAUUGCGAAGGCAGUCUACUACGUACAUACUGACGCUAAGGGACGAAAGCGUGGGGAGCGAACAGGAUUAGAAACCCUAGUAGUCC
Molecule: ribosomal RNA, 274 nt
Filed under: uncultured bacterium
Lineage: Bacteria
Description: partial 16S ribosomal RNA
Rfam family: Bacterial small subunit ribosomal RNA
Source: RNAcentral